AUACAAUCUCGAGGCAGAGGCCGGGUGAGGUUUGCAUAAGUGAUAUCCUUAAAAAAGGGGGAGACAGAGAAAGGAGCCUGGGAGUCUGCCCGUGGCACGGAGCAUGGAAGGCUG
Molecule: long non-coding RNA, 114 nt
Filed under: Cyanistes caeruleus (blue tit)
Lineage: Eukaryota; Metazoa; Chordata; Aves; Passeriformes; Paridae
Description: lncRNA (ENSCCEG00000004010.1)
Source: RNAcentral